This is a long non-coding RNA of Sphaeramia orbicularis (orbiculate cardinalfish), 259 nucleotides long. RefSeq lists it as uncharacterized. The record is from RefSeq and is a predicted model, not a curated record. The transcript has 2 exons. Lineage: Eukaryota; Metazoa; Chordata; Actinopteri; Kurtiformes; Apogonidae.
AAAAAAUCGGAUUUGUUCUGUUCAAACUGUCAUUAACAGAUCUGAUACAGGUCACAUAUGCGCAAAAAAAAAAUCAGAUUUGGGCCACGUUUGCCUGCAGUCUGAACGUAGCCUAAUUCUGGUGCAUUUGGAGAAAAGUAGAGCAACACAUUACAUUCAAUAAAAAAAAAAAUAGACACUUUAUUUUGUAAUUAUGAGAAAAGGUUGAACCUAGUUAUUGAUCACUGGCUCAUAACAUCAACAAUAGUGAGAAAAGUAU